UGGGGAAUAUUGCACAAUGGGGGAAACCCUGGUGCAGCCAUGCCGCGUGUGUGAAGAAGGCCUUCGGGUUGUAAAGCACUUUCAGUAGGGAGGAAAGGUAGCAGCUUAAUACGCUGUUGCUGUGACGUUACCUACAGAAGAAGGACCGGCUAACUCCGUGCCAGCAGCCGCGGUAAUACGGAGGGUCCGAGCGUUAAUCGGAAUUACUGGGCGUAAAGCGUGCGCAGGCGGUUUGUUAAGCGAGAUGUGAAAGCCCCGGGCUCAACCUGGGAAUUGCAUUUCGAACUGGCGAACUAGAGUCUUGUAGAGGGGGGUAGAAUUCCAGGUGUAGCGGUGAAAUGCGUAGAGAUCUGGAGGAAUACCGGUGGCGAAGGCGGCCCCCUGGACAAAGACUGACGCUCAGGCACGAAAGCGUGGGGAGCAAACAGGAUUAGAUACCCUGGUAGUCCACGCCGUAAACGAUGUCUACUCGGAGUUUGGUGUCUUGAACACUGGGCUCUCAAGCUAACGCAUUAAGUAGACCGCCUGGGGAGUACGGCCGCAAGGUUA
This 549-nucleotide ribosomal RNA is filed under the name uncultured bacterium. Its description in RNAcentral is "bacterial SSU rRNA". It matches the Rfam family "Bacterial small subunit ribosomal RNA", at positions 355 to 896 of the family's 1533-position model. The record is from RNAcentral.